RNAcentral lists this ribosomal RNA (527 nucleotides) under Cronobacter sakazakii. RNAcentral's name for it is "bacterial SSU rRNA". It matches the Rfam family "Bacterial small subunit ribosomal RNA", at positions 1 to 522 of the family's 1533-position model. The record is from RNAcentral. Lineage: Bacteria; Pseudomonadati; Pseudomonadota; Gammaproteobacteria; Enterobacterales; Enterobacteriaceae.
UGGAGAGUUUGAUCCUGGCUCAGAUUGAACGCUGGCGGCAGGCCUAACACAUGCAAGUCGAACGGUAGCAGGGAGCAGCUUGCUCUCGGGUGACGAGUGGCGGACGGGUGAGUAAUGUCUGGGAAACUGCCUGAUGGAGGGGGAUAACUACUGGAAACGGUAGCUAAUACCGCAUAACGUCGCAAGACCAAAGAGGGGGACCUUCGGGCCUCUUGCCAUCAGAUGUGCCCAGAUGGGAUUAGCUAGUAGGUGGGGUAACGGCUCACCUAGGCGACGAUCCCUAGCUGGUCUGAGAGGAUGACCAGCCACACUGGAACUGAGACACGGUCCAGACUCCUACGGGAGGCAGCAGUGGGGAAUAUUGCACAAUGGGCGCAAGCCUGAUGCAGCCAUGCCGCGUGUAUGAAGAAGGCCUUCGGGUUGUAAAGUACUUUCAGCGGGGAGGAAGGUGAUGUGGUUAAUAACCGCAGCAAUUGACGUUACCCGCAGAAGAAGCACCGGCUAACUCCGUGCCAGCACCCGCGGUA